UGUGAUGUUGUCAUGGGAUGGGUGUUGUGGGGUGUGAUGUUGUCAUGGGUUGGGUAUUGUCAUGGGUUGGGGUGUUGUCGUGGGUUGGGUGUUGUGUUGUUGUGGGUUGGGGUGUUGUGUUGCUGUGGGGUGUGAUGUUGUCAUGGGUUGGGGUGUUGCCGUGGGUUGGGGUGUUGUGUUGUUAUGGGUUGGGGUGUUUUGUGUUGCUGUGGGGUGUGGUGUUGUCGUGGGUUGGGCGUUGCUGUGGGUUGGGGUGUUGUCGUGGGUUGGGUGUUGUCAUGGGAUGGGGGCUUGUCACCAGUUGGGGUGUUGUGUUGCUGUGGGGUGUGGUGUUGUCAUGAGUUGGGUGUUGUCGGGGGUUGGGGUGUUGUUGUGGGUUGGGUGUUGUCGUGGGUUGGGGUGUUGUGUUGCUGUGGGGUGUGAUGUUGUCAUGGGUUGGGU
This 441-nucleotide long non-coding RNA is filed under the name Numida meleagris (helmeted guineafowl). Its description in RNAcentral is "lncRNA (ENSNMEG00000002100.1)". Lineage: Eukaryota; Metazoa; Chordata; Aves; Galliformes; Numididae. The record is from RNAcentral.